Molecule: ribosomal RNA, 253 nt
Filed under: uncultured bacterium
Lineage: Bacteria
Description: partial 16S ribosomal RNA
Rfam family: Bacterial small subunit ribosomal RNA
Source: RNAcentral
UACGAAGGGGGCUAGCGUUGCUCGGAAUCACUGGGCGUAAAGCGCACGUAGGCGGGUUCUUAAGUCAGGGGUGAAAUCCUGGAGCUCAACUCCAGAACUGCCUUUGAUACUGAGAAUCUUGAGUCCGGGAGAGGUGAGUGGAACUGCGAGUGUAGAGGUGAAAUUCGUAGAUAUUCGCAAGAACACCAGUGGCGAAGGCGGCUCACUGGCCCGGUACUGACGCUGAGGUGCGAAAGCGUGGGGAGCAAACAGG